UACGGAGGGUGCAAGCGUUGUCCGGAAUCACUGGGCGUAAAGGGCGCGUAGGCGGCCUGGUAAGUCGGGGGUGAAAUCCUGCGGCUUAACCGCAGGGCUGCCUUCUAAACUGUCAGGCUUGAGCACGGUAGAGGCAGAUGGAAUUCCCGGUGUAGCGGUGGAAUGCGUAGAGAUCGGGAAGAACAUCAGUGGCGAAGGCGGUCUGCUGGGCCGUUGCUGACGCUGAGGAGCGAAAGCUAGGGGAGCAAACGGG
This 253-nucleotide ribosomal RNA is filed under the name uncultured bacterium. RNAcentral's name for it is "partial 16S ribosomal RNA". It matches the Rfam family "Bacterial small subunit ribosomal RNA", at positions 524 to 776 of the family's 1533-position model. The record is from RNAcentral.